GGAAUCCCGUGUGAAUCGGCCCCGACCGUGGGGUAAGUCUAAGCAUACCUGUCUGACCGAUAGCGUACCAGUACCGUGAGGGAAAGGUGAAAAGCACCCCGGGAGGGGAGUGAAAGAGUUCCUGAAACCGUGCGCCUACAAUCCGUCGGAGCCUCCUUGUGGGGUGACGGCGUGCCUAUCGAAAAAUGAGUCUGCGAGUCAGUGGUGCGUGGCGAGGCUAACCCGUGGUGGGGGAGCCGUAGCGAAGGCGAGUCUCAAAAGGCGUUUUGAGUCGCGCGCCCUGGACCCGAAGCGGGAUGAUCUAGCCCUGGGCAGGUUGAAGCGCGGGUAAGACCGCGUGGAGGACCGAACCCACCUGGGUUGAAAACCGGGGGGAUGACCUGGGGCUAGGGGUGAAAGGCCAAUCAAAUUCCGUGAUAGCUGGUUCUCUCCGAAAUGCAUUUAGGUGCAGCGUCGGUUGAUUGCAUCGCGGGGGUAGAGCUACUGGAUGCUUGCGGGCCCGUGUCGGGUACCAAUAGCAGCCAAACUCCGAAUACCGUGGAUGUGUAUUCCGGCAGUGAGUCGGCGGGGGAUAAGCUCCGUCGUCGAGAGGGAGACAGCCCAGAUCGUCGUCUAAGGUCCCGAAGCGUGUGCUAAGUGGGAAAGGAUGUGGAGUCGCAUAGACAGCCAGGAGGUUGGCUCAGAAGCAGCCAUCCUUGAAAGAGUGCGUAACAGCUCACUGGUCUAGUGGUUCCGCGCCGACAAUGUAGCGGGGCUCAAGCACACCACCGAAGACGCGGCAGCGGCCUUUGCGGCCGUUGGGUAGGAGAGCGUCCCGCGUGGGGCGAAGCGGCCGGGGAACCGUGCCGUGGACCGCGCGGGAGUGAGAAUGCAGACAUGAGUAGCGAGAGACGGGUGAGGAUCCCGUCCGCUGGAUGACCAAGGGUUCCGGGGCCACGUUCGUCGUCCCCGGGUGAGUCGGGUCCUAAGGCGAGGCCGACAGGCGUAGUCGAAUGGAUGAACGGGUGGAUAUUCCCGUACCGGCGGCGUACCGUAAGAGCCGAACGGAUGAGUACUAACCUCCGGUCGCGUGGCGUCGUUCCCUUCGGGGUUCGGGGUCCGCGGUCGUUGGGAGCGUAGUCCCGGUAGGCUAGCGCACAGGGGUGACACGGAAUGGGAGCCGGCCGCGGAGGUGGUUUUCCGUGGUCAAGCACGCAGCCCGUCCCAUAGGCAAAUCCGUGGGACGCAUAGGGUGAGGUGUGAUGAUGGGCGUCCUUUGGACGCGAUAUCCGGUGGUCCAGGCCGUCGAGAAAAGCCUCGGCGCGAGGGGCGUCGCCGCCCGUACCCCAAACCGACACUGGUGGUCAGGUAGAGAAUACCAAGGCGAUCGAGCGAAUCCUGGUCAAGGAACUCGGCAAAUCACUCCCGUGCCUUCGGUAUAAGGGAGACCCCCGGGCGUGAAGAGGCUUGCCCUCGGAGCGUUGGGGGGUGGCACAGACCAGGGGGUAGCGACUGUUUACCAAAAACACAGGUGCAUGCGAAGGCGCAAGCCGCUGUAUAUGCACUGACGCCUGCCCGGUGCCGGAAGGUUAAGAGGAUCCGUCAGCCCCUUUUGGGGUGAAGCGGUGAAUUCAAGCCCCGGUAAACGGCGGUGGUAACUAUAACCAUCCUAAGGUAGCGAAAUUCCUUGUCGGGUAAGUUCCGACCUGCACGAAUGGCGUAACGACUUCCCCACUGUCUCGACCAGGAGCUCGGCGAAAUUGCAGUACGAGUAAAGAUGCUCGUUAAGCGCAGAAGGACGAAAAGACCCCGGGACCUUUACUAUACCUUGGUAUUGGCGUUAGGCGCGGAUUGUGUAGCAUAGGCGGGAGGCUUCGAAGCAUGGGCGCCAGCCCGUGUGGAGCCGCAAGGUGAAAUACCGCUCUGUUCUCGUUUGACGUCUCACCUCGAACAGUCAUCCUGUUCAGGGACAGUGCCUGGCGGGUAGUUUAACUGGGGCGGUUGCCUCCCAAAGAGUAACGGAGGCGCUCAAAGGUCCGCUCAGCCCGGUUGGCAAUCGGGUUUCGAGUGUAAUCGCACAAGCGGGCUUGACUGCGAGAACGACGGUUCGGGCAGGGACGAAAGUCGGAGAUAGUGAUCCGGUGCCGGCGCACGGGCGCGGCAUCGCUCAACGGAUAAAAGGUACCCCGGGGAUAACAGGCU
This 2181-nucleotide ribosomal RNA is filed under the name human gut metagenome. Its description in RNAcentral is "bacterial LSU rRNA". It matches the Rfam family "Bacterial large subunit ribosomal RNA", at positions 428 to 2483 of the family's 2925-position model. The record is from RNAcentral.